AGCCUGCUCAUCUGCACUUUCAUCGCCACUCUCCUCAUCUGUGGCAAAUGUUAUACUCUUCCCUGCCCUCUUCUCUUGCUCCUUUGCCUUCUUUGCAGCCACGGUUUUCUGUCGAGAAGUCUUUUGUGUCCAAGAACCAGCUCGUUCCGAGGCUAAAGCCUUUCCUCUCAACGAAGAAUCUUGACUUUCAGGUUCUUGCCUC
Molecule: long non-coding RNA, 202 nt
Filed under: Brassica napus (rape)
Lineage: Eukaryota; Viridiplantae; Streptophyta; Magnoliopsida; Brassicales; Brassicaceae
Description: long non-coding RNA (BNAP_LNC005170)
Source: RNAcentral